Molecule: ribosomal RNA, 492 nt
Filed under: uncultured bacterium
Lineage: Bacteria
Description: partial 16S ribosomal RNA
Rfam family: Bacterial small subunit ribosomal RNA
Source: RNAcentral
AGUGAACGCUGGCGGUAGGCCUAACACAUGCAAGUCGAACGGCAGCACAGUAAGAGCUUGCUCUUACGGGUGGCGAGUGGCGGACGGGUGAGGAAUAUAUCGGAAUCUACUUUUUCGUGGGGGAUAACGUAGGGAAACUUACGCUAAUACCGCAUACGACCUACGGGUGAAAGCAGGGGAUCUUCGGACCUUGCGCGAUUGAAUGAGCCGAUGUCGGAUUAGCUAGUUGGCGGGGUAAAGGCCCACCAAGGCGACGAUCCGUAGCUGGUCUGAGAGGAUGAUCGGCCACACUGGAACUGAGACACGGUCCAGACUCCUACGGGAGGCAGCAGUGGGGAAUAUUGGACAAUGGGCGCAAGCCUGAUCCAGCCAUACCGCGUGGGUGAAGAAGGCCUUCGGGUUGUAAAGCCCUUUUGUUGGGAAAGAAAAGCAGCAGGUUAAUACCCCGCUGUUCUGACGGUACCCAAAGAAUAAGCACCGGCUAACUUCGUG